Molecule: ribosomal RNA, 253 nt
Filed under: uncultured bacterium
Lineage: Bacteria
Description: partial 16S ribosomal RNA
Rfam family: Bacterial small subunit ribosomal RNA
Source: RNAcentral
UACAGAGGGUGCAAGCGUUAAUCGGAAUUACUGGGCGUAAAGCGUGCGUAGGCGGUUAUUUAAGUCGGAUGUGAAAUCCCCGGGCUCAACCUGGGAAUUGCAUUCGAUACUGGAUAGCUAGAGUUCGGCAGAGGGAAGCGGAAUUUCUGGUGUAGCGGUGAAAUGCGUAGAUAUGCGGAGGAACACCGAUGGCGAAGGCAAUCCCCUGGGCCUGCACUGACGCUCAUGCACGAAAGCGUGGGGAGCAAACAGG